This 457-nucleotide long non-coding RNA is filed under the name Zonotrichia albicollis (white-throated sparrow). Its description in RNAcentral is "lncRNA (ENSZALG00000009637.1)". Lineage: Eukaryota; Metazoa; Chordata; Aves; Passeriformes; Passerellidae. The record is from RNAcentral.
CUCUGUCUGAGACUUUGGGGUUGUCCAAUAAAGUGUUUGAAAUGCUAUUUUUUCUUUCAGUAGCUCUCUAGAGAAUAUCAGGAAGAGCCAAGAGGAAGCAGCAUGCAGAGUGCAUCCAGGCCUGUGGCACUCCAGAGCUGUGGCCCUUGGGAAUUCUGCUGACAGUUCUGCCACUGCCAAGCAGCCCCGAGACACCGAGUGCUGAGCCCAGCGAUCCUGCACGGGCAGCGCCGCUGACAAAGCCCGCGAAGAGGCGAAGGAGCCGCGGGAAGCGCUCCCUCCCCGGCCGCUGCCUCCCGGAAGAUGGAGCUGUUUCCCUGACACAGCUGAUGGAGACCUGGUAAGUUCAGUGUCACGUGCAGUUGGGGAAUUCUUACAGAUGUCAGAGAUUUCUUCUUCACAGCUGAGAGAAAGAAAUGAGCCCACUGACCAUAAUUAUUUUAUUAUAAAAUAAGAG